CGAGUAACCUACGGGGGGCAGCAGUGGGGAAUAUUGCACAAUGGGCGCAAACCUGAUGCAGCCAUGCCGCGUGUAUGAAGAAGGCCUUCGGGUUGUAAAGUACUUUCAGCGGGGAGGAAGGGAGUAAAGUUAAUACCUUUGCUCAUUGACGUUACCCGCAGAAGAAGCACCGGCUAACUCCGUGCCAGCAGCCGCGGUAAUACGGAGGGUGCAAGCGUUAAUCGGAAUUACUGGGCGUAAAGCGCACGCAGGCGGUUUGUUAAGUCAGAUGUGAAAUCCCCGGGCUCAACCUGGGAACUGCAUCUGAUACUGGCAAGCUUGAGUCUCGUAGAGGGGGGUAGAAUUCCAGGUGUAGCGGUGAAAUGCGUAGAGAUCUGGAGGAAUACCGGUGGCGAAGGCGGCCCCCUGGACGAAGACUGACGCUCAGGUGCGAAAGCGUGGGGAGCAAACAGGAUUAGAUACCCUUGUAGUCACAUUCU
RNAcentral lists this ribosomal RNA (479 nucleotides) under uncultured Enterobacteriaceae bacterium. RNAcentral describes it as "bacterial SSU rRNA". It matches the Rfam family "Bacterial small subunit ribosomal RNA", at positions 331 to 801 of the family's 1533-position model. The record is from RNAcentral. Lineage: Bacteria; Pseudomonadati; Pseudomonadota; Gammaproteobacteria; Enterobacterales; Enterobacteriaceae.